AGAAGAUGUCAGUAGUUUCCAUCCUCGGUCGGUCAGCGCUCGUUUGUUGGGAGAUUUGAGCCUGUCACUGUAAGACAAUCACAAUCACACCUUCAGUGAAGCUCCUCCCACAACAAACACACCUUCAAUGAAGCUCCUCCCACAACAAUCACACGUUCAGUAAAGCUCCUCCCA
Molecule: long non-coding RNA, 174 nt
Organism: Puntigrus tetrazona (Sumatra barb)
Lineage: Eukaryota; Metazoa; Chordata; Actinopteri; Cypriniformes; Cyprinidae
Exons: 2
Source: RefSeq, a predicted model, not a curated record